Molecule: ribosomal RNA, 669 nt
Filed under: uncultured Nitrososphaerota archaeon
Lineage: Archaea; Thermoproteati; Nitrososphaerota
Description: bacterial SSU rRNA
Rfam family: Archaeal small subunit ribosomal RNA
Source: RNAcentral
UGCGUGGCAUACGGCUCAGUAACACGUAGUCAACAUGCCCAGGGGACGUGGAUAACCUCGGGAAACUGAGGAUAAACCACGAUAGGCCAAGAUUUCUGGAAUGAAUCAUGGCUGAAAUCUACAUGGCCCUUGGAUUGGACUGCGGCCGAUCAGGCUGUUGGUGAGGUAAUGGCCCACCAAACCUAUAACCGGUACGGGCUCUGAGAGGAGGAGCCCGGAGAUGGGCACUGAGACAAGGGCCCAGGCCCUAUGGGGCGCAGCAGGCGCGAAACCUCUGCAAUAGGCGAAAGCUUGACAGGGUUACUCUGAGUGAUGUCCGUUAAGGGCAUCUUUUGGCACCUCUAAAAAUGGUGUAGAAUAAGGGGUGGGCAAGUCUGGUGUCAGCCGCCGCGGUAAUACCAGCACCCCGAGUGGUCGGGACGAUUAUUGGGCCUAAAGCAUCCGUAGCCGGUUCUGCAAGUCUUCCGUUAAAUCCACCUGCUCAACAGAUGGGCUGCGGGGGAUACUACAGGGCUAGGAGGCGGGAGAGGCAAGCGGUACUCGGUGGGUAGGGGUAAAAUCCUCUGAUCCACUGAAGACCACCAGUGGCGAAGGCGGCUUGCCAGAACGCGCUCGACGGUGAGGGAUGAAAGCUGGGGGAGCAAACCGGAUUAGAUACCCGGGUAGUCC